AGUCUACUAACUCUGGGCACUGUUAUUCGCAAGCUCAGCAAGGGAAGAAAUGGGCAUGUUCCUUACCGAGAUUCGAAGCUAACCCGCAUUCUGCAGUCCUCC
This is a non-coding RNA of Prunus avium (sweet cherry), 102 nucleotides long. The record is from RefSeq and is a predicted model, not a curated record. NCBI's taxonomy places the organism in Eukaryota, Viridiplantae, Streptophyta, Magnoliopsida, Rosales, Rosaceae.